This 890-nucleotide ribosomal RNA is filed under the name Fusarium oxysporum. RNAcentral's name for it is "28S rRNA". It matches the Rfam family "Eukaryotic large subunit ribosomal RNA", at positions 41 to 961 of the family's 3401-position model. The record is from RNAcentral. Lineage: Eukaryota; Fungi; Ascomycota; Sordariomycetes; Hypocreales; Nectriaceae.
UAUCAAUAAGCGGAGGAAAAGAAACCAACAGGGAUUGCCCUAGUAACGGCGAGUGAAGCGGCAACAGCUCAAAUUUGAAAUCUGGCUCUCGGGCCCGAGUUGUAAUUUGUAGAGGAUACUUUUGAUGCGGUGCCUUCCGAGUUCCCUGGAACGGGACGCCAUAGAGGGUGAGAGCCCCGUCUGGUUGGAUGCCAAAUCUCUGUAAAGUUCCUUCAACGAGUCGAGUAGUUUGGGAAUGCUGCUCUAAAUGGGAGGUAUAUGUCUUCUAAAGCUAAAUACCGGCCAGAGACCGAUAGCGCACAAGUAGAGUGAUCGAAAGAUGAAAAGCACUUUGAAAAGAGAGUUAAAAAGUACGUGAAAUUGUUGAAAGGGAAGCGUUUAUGACCAGACUUGGGCUUGGUUAAUCAUCUGGGGUUCUCCCCAGUGCACUUUUCCAGUCCAGGCCAGCAUCAGUUUUCCCCGGGGGAUAAAGGCGGCGGGAAUGUGGCUCUCUUCGGGGAGUGUUAUAGCCCACCGUGUAAUACCCUGGGGGGGACUGAGGUUCGCGCAUCUGCAAGGAUGCUGGCGUAAUGGUCAUCAACGACCCGUCUUGAAACACGGACCAAGGAGUCGUCUUCGUAUGCGAGUGUUCGGGUGUCAAACCCCUACGCGUAAUGAAAGUGAACGCAGGUGAGAGCUUCGGCGCAUCAUCGACCGAUCCUGAUGUUCUCGGAUGGAUUUGAGUAAGAGCAUACGGGGCCGGACCCGAAAGAAGGUGAACUAUGCCUGUAUAGGGUGAAGCCAGAGGAAACUCUGGUGGAGGCUCGCAGCGGUUCUGACGUGCAAAUCGAUCGUCAAAUAUGGGCAUGGGGGCGAAAGACUAAUCGAACCUUCUAGUACUGGGUUUCCGC